Oncorhynchus keta (chum salmon) is the source of this 683-nucleotide long non-coding RNA. RefSeq lists it as uncharacterized. The transcript has 3 exons. NCBI's taxonomy places the organism in Eukaryota, Metazoa, Chordata, Actinopteri, Salmoniformes, Salmonidae. The record is from RefSeq and is a predicted model, not a curated record.
UGAACAUGGACAAGGCACAGGAAAACUGAAGGAGAUCUACCGGAGCAGAAUCAAGAAGGGGACCAAGUGCUACGAGAUCCUGGCAAAUUACUUGGUUUGGAAGAAGGACAAAAGGAAGGCGAGACCUGGGAAACCUUGCUGCUCUUUCGCUCCCAGCUGGGGUCACCAUCUGUUAGUGAAUAUAAAACAUCUCAGAUAAUAACUAUUUGUAGUUUCCCUAAUUCUGAUAGUUUACUCUUUGUCUUCCUUGGGUUACAUCGGUGGAAGCCAACAAUUUUCUACAGUUGGAGCAGUUGGACGGUGGACCACAAAAAGCACUGACGUCCCUCACUUCAGUGAAGCCCGAUAGACAAAGACCAUCGACUGUCCAAGCCCAAGAGGUAUCCCUUGAGGACCUAGGGGUUCUGCCCAACACCCAGACAUGGAACCACCUGAUGUCCUCCAUUACUAACCACCCUCCAACUUUUCAUGACAUCAUCUAUAGCUACUGUUGUUGUCAUGUUGUUAUCCGCUAAUAACGUUUUUUGCUCUAUAAUACUGGGCACAUAAUAUGUAAGAUACACAGAUGAACCAAAAACACGAGCACUGCAAACACUCAGAACAAAGAGAGCAGCAGUGCCUGAACUUUGCAGUCUCCCUCUUCAAUCUAUGAUUGCCAUGUGAGUGUACAAAAAAUCUGUGAA